This 81-nucleotide ribosomal RNA is filed under the name Syrrhopodon banksii. RNAcentral's name for it is "partial 5.8S ribosomal RNA". It matches the Rfam family "5.8S ribosomal RNA", at positions 72 to 153 of the family's 154-position model. Rfam says of the family: 5.8S ribosomal RNA (5.8S rRNA) is a component of the large subunit of the eukaryotic ribosome. RNAcentral also lists the same sequence under 1 other name. Lineage: Eukaryota; Viridiplantae; Streptophyta; Bryopsida; Dicranales; Calymperaceae. The record is from RNAcentral.
UUGCAGAAUUCCGCGAAUCAUCGAGUUUUUGAACGCAAGUUGCGCCCGAGGCUUGACCAAGGGCAUCUCUGCCAGAGCGUC